AGAGUUUGAUCCUGGCUCAGAAUCAACGCUGGCGGCGUGCCUCAGACAUGCAAGUCGAACGAUUAAAGCUCUCUUCGGAGAGUGCAUAGAGUGGCGCACGGGUGAGUAACACGUAAGUAAUCUACCUUCGAGUGGGGAAUAACAGUCGGAAACGACUGCUAAUACCGCAUAAUGCAGCGGCAUCGCAAGAUGACAGUUGUUAAAGAUUUAUCGCUUGAAGAGGAGCUUGCGGCAGAUUAGCUAGUUGGUAAGGUAAUGGCUUACCAAGGCUACGAUCUGUAACCGGUCUAAGAGGACGGUCGGUCACACUGACACUGAAUAACGGGUCAGACUCCUACGGGAGGCAGCAGUCGGGAAUUUUGGGCAAUGGGGGAAACCCUGACCCAGCAACGCCGCGUGAAGGAUGAAGUAUUUCGGUAUGUAAACUUCGAAAGAAUAGGAAGAAUUAAUGACGGUACUAUUUAUAAGGUCCGGCUAACUACGUGCCAGCCGCCGCGGUAAUAC
RNAcentral lists this ribosomal RNA (504 nucleotides) under uncultured bacterium. RNAcentral describes it as "bacterial SSU rRNA". It matches the Rfam family "Bacterial small subunit ribosomal RNA", at positions 8 to 526 of the family's 1533-position model. The record is from RNAcentral.